Molecule: unclassified non-coding RNA, 258 nt
Filed under: uncultured fungus
Lineage: Eukaryota; Fungi
Description: partial contains small subunit ribosomal RNA, internal transcribed spacer 1, and 5.8S ribosomal RNA
Rfam family: Eukaryotic small subunit ribosomal RNA (bases 1-73)
Source: RNAcentral
CCAAACUUGGUCAUUUAGAGGAAGUAAAAGUCAUAACAAGGUCUCCGUAGGUGAACCUGCGGAGGGAUCAUUAAGGAUUGGCACGCAAGUGCUGUUCUCAAUACCAUACCACACACCGUGCACUGUUAAUUGAAGGGGGUUGUAGUAAUACGACCUUCUGACCAUACCUAAACAAGAAGUCUUGAACGUACCAUAUUAUAACCUAAUAUAACUUUCAACAACGGAUCUCUUGGCUCUCGCAUCGAUGAAGAACGCAGC